UUAAUUUUGUCUUUCCGUAAAUUUUUUUUUUUUUUUACUUUAAUGAAACUUACAAUAAUAUAUAUAGUAAUUGGCACCACAUAUUAAUUUAUUACUGUAUUUUUUUUUGCUUUUUGAUUAAAUGUCAAAUACUUAUUAUAGAUUGCCUAAUGACCAUGCCCAAAGGAAACAAUGGAUUUCAUUACUGGAAAUCAACACGAUUAAAAAGAACAUAUUUGUUUGUUCAGAUUACUUCCUUAGAAGUGAUUUCUUACAUGAGGGAGAUGAUAUUAUCAGUAGGACUUCUGGUACUUAUUGAAUUAGGUAUGUGUGUAAAAGUACUUUUUUACUAGGAUUUCUGAUGCAUUCUGAAUCAUUCAUCAUCAACGAUAACUGCAUCUGAGAUUAAUAGUUCUACAGUAACCGUGGCGUCUAGGUCAACAACUACUAUUUCUCAUCUAAGCCGUUUUAGUUCAACUGCUACACACUCCCUGACUCCGCCAAGAAAAAGACUUAGAGAUGUAGAGGUAUGCUUGGAGAAAGAUAAUAAUUUAAUAACAUUAAUAUCACCACCACACAAAAAGGUAAACUCAAAAUGGUAUCCUGGGGACCUAAGCACUGAUGAUUUCACCGUUUCAAUAUGUACAAACUAUGUAGCAACUUUAUUUUUUUUAAUAUUUAAUGCCUAAUUUAUAAGUUUCAUUACAUAUUUUAUUUGACUUGUAAAAGUGUGUAUUACUACUAAUAAACUAUUUAAUCUAAUGUA
This is a long non-coding RNA of Anthonomus grandis grandis, 745 nucleotides long. RefSeq lists it as uncharacterized. The transcript is spliced from 3 exons. The record is from RefSeq and is a predicted model, not a curated record. Lineage: Eukaryota; Metazoa; Arthropoda; Insecta; Coleoptera; Curculionidae.